AUUGAACGCUGGCGGCAGGCCUAACACAUGCAAGUCGAGCGGAUGAAGGGAGCUUGCUCCUGGAUUCAGCGGCGGACGGGUGAGUAAUGCCUAGGAAUCUGCCUGGUAGUGGGGGAUAACGUCCGGAAACGGGCGCUAAUACCGCAUACGUCCUGAGGGAGAAAGUGGGGGAUCUUCGGACCUCACGCUAUCAGAUGAGCCUAGGUCGGAUUAGCUAGUUGGUGGGGUAAAGGCCUACCAAGGCGACGAUCCGUAACUGGUCUGAGAGGAUGAUCAGUCACACUGGAACUGAGACACGGUCCAGACUCCUACGGGAGGCAGCAGUGGGGAAUAUUGGACCAUGGGCGAAAGCCUGAUCCAGCCCUGCCGCGUGUGUGAAGAAGGUCUUCGGAUUGUAAAGAACUUUAAGUUGGGAGGAAGGGCAGUAAGUUAAUACCUUGCUGUUUUGACGUUACCAACAGAAUAAGCACCGGCUAACUUCGUG
RNAcentral lists this ribosomal RNA (484 nucleotides) under uncultured bacterium. Its description in RNAcentral is "partial 16S ribosomal RNA". It matches the Rfam family "Bacterial small subunit ribosomal RNA", at positions 30 to 507 of the family's 1533-position model. The record is from RNAcentral.